GACGAACGCUGGCGGCGUGCUUAACACAUGCAAGUCGAACGGAAAGGCCCUGCUUUUGUGGGGUGCUCGAGUGGCGAACGGGUGAGUAACACGUGAGUAACCUGCCCUUGACUUUGGGAUAACUUCAGGAAACUGGGGCUAAUACCGGAUAGGAGCUCCUGCAGCAUGGUGGGGGUUGGAAAGUUUCGGCGGUUGGGGAUGGACUCGCGGCUUAUCAGCUUGUUGGUGGGGUAGUGGCUUACCAAGGCUUUGACGGGAAGCCGGCCUGAGAGGGUGACCGGCCACAUUGGGACUGAGAUACGGCCCAGACUCCUACGGGAGGCAGCAGUGGGGAAUAUUGCACAAUGGGCGGAAGCCUGAUGCAGCAACGCCGCGUGCGGGAUGACGGCCUUCGGGUUGUAAACCGCUUUCGCCUGUGACGAAGCGUGAGUGACGGUAAUGGGUAAAGAAGCACCGGCUAACUACGUG
RNAcentral lists this ribosomal RNA (468 nucleotides) under uncultured bacterium. Its description in RNAcentral is "partial 16S ribosomal RNA". It matches the Rfam family "Bacterial small subunit ribosomal RNA", at positions 28 to 507 of the family's 1533-position model. The record is from RNAcentral.